CAAAACCGCGUAUCAUGGAUAACGCAAAACCGCGUACGUGAGGUUGCAAUAAUUAUUUUGUAGAGAGUAAAAACACGCAUAUUUCGAAAUUGUUCUCUCUUUUAUAAAGGAAUCGCUUUUCUGUCUAGUAUAUUUCAGCAGGAACGGAUGAGGCUUGAGCCAAGAGCUUCGGUGAGCAAAUCCAAUUU
Long non-coding RNA from Rhagoletis zephyria (snowberry fruit fly), 188 nucleotides. RefSeq lists it as uncharacterized. The record is from RefSeq and is a predicted model, not a curated record. Lineage: Eukaryota; Metazoa; Arthropoda; Insecta; Diptera; Tephritidae.